GGAUGAGCCCGCGGCCUAUCAGCUUGUUGGUGAGGUAAUGGCUCACCAAGGCGACGACGGGUAGCCGGCCUGAGAGGGCGACCGGCCACACUGGGACUGAGACACGGCCCAGACUCCUACGGGAGGCAGCAGUGGGGAAUAUUGCACAAUGGGCGAAAGCCUGAUGCAGCGACGCCGCGUGAGGGAUGACGGCCUUCGGGUUGUAAACCUCUUUCAGCAGGGAAGAAGCGAAAGUGACGGUACCUGCAGAAGAAGCGCCGGCUAACUACGUGCCAGCAGCCGCGGUAAUACGUAGGGCGCAAGCGUUGUCCGGAAUUACUGGGCGUAAAGAGCUCGUAGGCGGUCUGUCGCGUCGGAUGUGAAAGCCCGGGGCUUAACCCCGGGUCUGCAUUCGAUACGGGCAGACUAGAGUGUGGUGGGGGAGAUCGGAAUUCCUGGUGUAGCGGUGAAAUGCGCAGAUAUCAGGAGGAACACCGGUGGCGAAGGCGGAUCUCUGGGCCAUUACUGACGCUGAGGAGCGAAAGCGUGGGGGAGCGAACAGGAUUAGAUACCCUGGGUAGUCCCCGCCGUUAAACGGGGGGGAACUAAGGUGUGGGCGACAUUUCCACGUUCCUUCCGGUGCCCCCAGGCUUAAGCAUUUAAAUUUCCCCGCCCUGGGGGG
RNAcentral lists this ribosomal RNA (661 nucleotides) under uncultured Actinomycetes bacterium. RNAcentral describes it as "bacterial SSU rRNA". It matches the Rfam family "Bacterial small subunit ribosomal RNA", at positions 223 to 873 of the family's 1533-position model. Lineage: Bacteria; Bacillati; Actinomycetota; Actinomycetes. The record is from RNAcentral.